Molecule: long non-coding RNA, 315 nt
Filed under: Linum usitatissimum (flax)
Lineage: Eukaryota; Viridiplantae; Streptophyta; Magnoliopsida; Malpighiales; Linaceae
Description: long non-coding RNA (LUSI_LNC001049)
Source: RNAcentral
UCCUCACGAUGGUCGCAACUCCCACCCGUCUGAUCAUGAUCAUAAUCGUGGAACAUCUUUUCAUCCCGAUGAUGAUCAGAAGGGCUCCUCAUCAUCACUUUACCAUUAAAGCUGUUGUUGUUGGUAAAUGUCGUCGACGAAGAUGUUAAUAAAUGAUGAUCAGAGUAGUGAGUGGAAGACGAAGAAGAACAAGUUGCGGUAGUUGAGGAAAAGGGGAACAACAUCUGGAACUUCUCCAUGGGAGAAAGUGGAAGGUUUGGUUUUAUGGAGAAGAUUAUGAGAAUUAGAUGAGAGUAGAAAAUCCAAAUGGUUAAU